GAUGAACGCUGGCGGCGUGCCUAAUACCUGCAAGUCGAGCGAACAGACGAGGAGCUUGCUCCUCUGACGUUAGCGGCGGACGGGUGAGUAACACGUGGAUAACCUACCUAUAAGACUGGGAUAACUUCGGGAAACCGGAGCUAAUACCGGAUAAUAUAUUGAACCGCAUGGUUCAAUAGUGAAAGACGGUUUUGCUGUCACUUAUAGAUGGAUCCGCGCCGCAUUAGCUAGUUGGUAAGGUAACGGCUUACCAAGGAAACUGUGCGUAGCCGACCUGAGAGGGUGAUCGGCCACACUGGAACUGAGACACGGUCCAGACUCCUACGGGAGGCAGCAGUAGGGAAUCUUCCGCAAUGGGCGAAAGCUUGACGGAGCAACGCCGCGUGAGUGAUGAAGGUCUUCGGAUCGUAAAACUCUGUUAUUAGGGAAGAACAAAUGUGUAAGUAACUAUGCACGUCUUGACGGUACCUAAUCAGAAAGCCACGGCUAACUACGUG
RNAcentral lists this ribosomal RNA (497 nucleotides) under uncultured bacterium. RNAcentral's name for it is "partial 16S ribosomal RNA". It matches the Rfam family "Bacterial small subunit ribosomal RNA", at positions 28 to 507 of the family's 1533-position model. The record is from RNAcentral.